Molecule: long non-coding RNA, 264 nt
Organism: Ixodes scapularis (black-legged tick)
Lineage: Eukaryota; Metazoa; Arthropoda; Arachnida; Ixodida; Ixodidae
Exons: 3
Source: RefSeq, a predicted model, not a curated record
GUAACUUGGAAGCAUUGAAGGUUACAUAACAAAAUAAUUCACAUCCAGAUCCGUCUGAUCAUGCUGAGCACCGAGUUGCACUGUUUGAGUUUGUCGCGGAGCCAAGCGUCUCCUUUGCCGUUCUCCUCUAUGGUGAUCCCCAGGAUCUCUACCGAAGGGGACGGCUGGAUUCAUUUCCCCGCCAGGACCAGCGAUGAUGACGGGACGUCUGGUGAGGAUAGCGAGUUCUCGGAACCUUUUGUUGACGACGGGGGCGAUUCCGAC